UCUUUGGAGAGUUUGAUCCUGGCUCAGGACGAACGCUGGCGGCGUGCCUAAUACAUGCAAGUCGAGCGCAGGAAACCGUCUGAACCCUUCGGGGGGACGACGGCGGAAUGAGCGGCGGACGGGUGAGUAACACGUAAAGAACCUGCCCAUAGGUCUGGGAUAACCACGAGAAAUCGGGGCUAAUACCGGAUGUGUCAUCGGACCGCAUGGUCCGCUGAUGAAAGGCGCUCCGGCGUCGCCCAUGGAUGGCUUUGCGGUGCAUUAGCUAGUUGGUGGGGUAACGGCCCACCAAGGCGACGAUGCAUAGCCGACCUGAGAGGGUGAUCGGCCACACUGGGACUGAGACAC
RNAcentral lists this ribosomal RNA (348 nucleotides) under Exiguobacterium sp. B2(2022). RNAcentral's name for it is "bacterial SSU rRNA". It matches the Rfam family "Bacterial small subunit ribosomal RNA", at positions 1 to 327 of the family's 1533-position model. Lineage: Bacteria; Bacillati; Bacillota; Bacilli; Caryophanales. The record is from RNAcentral.